This 1080-nucleotide ribosomal RNA is filed under the name Candidatus Kaiserbacteria bacterium. RNAcentral's name for it is "partial 23S ribosomal RNA". It matches the Rfam family "Bacterial large subunit ribosomal RNA", at positions 1 to 1039 of the family's 2925-position model. The record is from RNAcentral. Lineage: Bacteria; Candidatus Kaiseribacteriota.
CUGAGUAAGGGCGUGUGGUGGAUGCCUUGACUGAAGAAGGCGAUGAAGGACGCGGCUUAGCUGCGAUAAGCUCCGGUAAGAUGCCAAGCAAUCGUUAUACCCGGAGAUUUCCGAAUGGGGCAACCCUAUCAAGUAACCCUUGAUAACUCUCAACUUAAUCGUUUGAGAGAGCAGACCUCGGGAAGUAAAACAUUUCAGUACCGAGAGGAAAAGAGACCAAUAGGUAUUCCCUGAGUAGCGGCGAGCGAAACGGGAAAAGCACAAACUCAGCCACAAAAUCGAAGCGCGAUUAAUUUCGCGAGUCGAUUUUGGGGAUGGGGGUUAUAAGGCUACAGCGCUGGCAACAGGUAGAGUCAAAAAAUGCUUAGAUAGAGGAAUCUGCUGGGAAGCAGAGCCCCAGAGGGUAAUAGCCCCGUACUCGAAAUCAAAGCAUCUCUAUGGCUGUAGUUCUUGAGUAGCUCGAGACAUGAAUAGCUCGGGUGAAUUCGCCGGGACUAACCGGUAAUGCUACAUACUUCUUCAGAUCGAUAGUGAACAAGUACCGUGAGGGAAAGGUGAAAAGAACCCCGGUGAGGGGAGUGAAAUAGAACUGAAACCACAUGUCUACAAGGAGUCAGAGCGGUCGCAAGACCGCGAUGGCGUGCCUAUUGAAGAAUGAGCCACCGAGUUGAUGCAAACGGCUUGGCUAAGUGCGACAAAGCAUGGAGCCGUAGCGAAAGCGAGUGUGAAUAGCGCGUUUGUCGUUUGUAUCAGACCCGAAGCAACGUGAGCUACCCAUGAGCAGGAUGAACUCUGUAGAAAUACAGAGGGAGGUCCGAACCCAUAGAUUGUGCAACAUCUCGGGAUGACUUGUGGGUUGGAGUGAAAAGCUUAUCGAACCUGGUAAUAGCUGGUUCUCUCCGAAAGAGCUUUCGGGCUUGCGUCGUGCGUUCCCUCUGGGGGUAGAGCACUGGAAGGUGUCGAUAGGUCGCAAGACCACGACUCCUAUCAAACUCCGAAUACCAGAGGCCAGAGCACGGCAGUUAGACUACGGGGGCGAAGCUCCGUUGGUCAAAAGGGAAACAGCCCUAGAUCGCCAGU